RNAcentral lists this non-coding RNA (3204 nucleotides) under Pongo abelii (Sumatran orangutan). Lineage: Eukaryota; Metazoa; Chordata; Mammalia; Primates; Hominidae. The record is from RNAcentral.
GUUGGCGGGAGGGGCGGCCGGCUCGCGGUGACCUCCAUGGGAGGGGGCCUCGCCCGCGGCUCAGGGCGCCCCCGGCUCCCUGCGCCCGGCCCUUCGCCUCCGCCGAACGCGCCAGCACAGGAAGGCGGCGGACAGGAGCCCCAGGCCCGCACUGAGCGCGGCUAGCGACGAGCCCUGGGCCAGGUCCAGGCGGGGUCCCCGCAGCGAGAAGGUGAUGGCCGUGGCAGCUGCACCAGCCAGCACGGCCACGGUACCGAACGGCAGAAUGCAGCGCGGCCACGCGCCCCCCGCGCCGCCGGUGGCCAAGAGCAGGGCACGCAGAGCCCCGGGGGGCUCCGGGUGCGCCAGACCCGGCCCGGGGGGCGAGGCGGGCGCCGCGGGGGGAGACUCGAGCGCGCUCAUGCCGCCAACGCGGUGGCCGCGCUCGGUGGGUGGUGUGGACGCCCGCGCAGUCCCAGUGGCGUUCCGAGCUCGCCACGUCAGAGCCUAUUGGCUCCAGAGGCGGUGACGCCAGCCGGGAGCCCGGGGAGUCAGCCGCUGCCUCUGGGUUUUGGCGGGGAAUCGGAGUGGGCGGGCGUUAAUCGGAGGAGGCGGCCUGUCUUUCCCGCCCUGGACUCCUGUGUCGGGGCCUCCUCAGGACCCCCACAGAGCUAUCUAGGCCGCCUCCCUGCUCCAGGACACCAGUGUCCUCUGGGUUGGCCCCGGGAUUGGUGGAUCAUUGAGUCAGUGCACGUCUGGCUCCCAUCAGGGCCUGGCCGGUGUAGGGGGGGAUAGCACCCCUGUCCUCCUGAGACAAACAUCAGUAGGCAUGGGGGAUGAGCCAUGAGCAAGUCAGCCAGUGAAAUAAGGUCAGGCAGAGACCACCUGCUCUGGAAAGCCACACGGGUACAGUCACAGCGUGGUUGGGGGUUUCAAAUGAGUCAGUGGCUCCUGCAGAUAGAGGCACCUGGGCAUAAGCCUGGAGGCAGCAAUGGGGUGGCUGGGAGGGGCGAGGCUGGCUGAUCUGCACAAGAGGUGCGACCCUGGGGCUGCUGCCAGGCUGCGGGGGCAGGGGGUGGAGCUGCUCUGUCCCUGGAGGCGCCCCCUCAAUGCAAUGAGGACCAUGGUUUUUGGUUUCCUGUCUUGGUCUCUGUCAUCUGGUCCCCAGCAGCCCUCAACUCGGGACUCUGGGUCCGAGUGUGUUUCUGGCCUGCUAGACUGUCAGGCCCUUUACAAGCAGGACCUACCUGCCACGCUUCAUCUGGCUCUCAGAAGACCCAGCUUUCUCCAGGUGUCACCCACCUCCUGUCCUGCUGCCCUGUCCAGGGGGGGCACCUUGGGGAAGAGGCUGGUAAUCUUCCCUGUCGUAGGUCCCUGCCCAGAGCUGUGCUUGGUGGAGCGCCGAUGCUGUCCGCACAUAGCACCCGGCCCCAGCUCCCAAAAUGUUUGGGAUGCCUCUGGGCCCUCCGUGCAGAUUCGUUUAAAGAACACUACGAGCACUGGCCUGUGGCCAGCAGUUUUUUUUUUGAGAUGGAGUCUCACUCUGUCACCCAGGCUGGGCGAUUUCGGCUCACUGCAACCUCCGCCUCCUGGGCUCAAGCGAUUCUCCUGCCUCAGCCUCCCAAGUAACUGCGAUUACAGACGCGGACUACCACGCCUGGCUAAUUUUUUGUAGUUUUAGUAGAGACGAGGUUUCACCAUGUUGGUCAGGCUGGUCUUGAUCUGACCUCGUGAUCCGCCUGCCUUGGCCUUCCAAAGUGCUAGGAUUACAGUCAUGAGCCACCGUGCCUGGCCUUUAGUUUUUAUAUUUUGAAUGGAGACAGGGUUUCAACAUGUUGGCCAGGCUGGUCAUGAACUCCUGACCUCAGGUGAUCCGCCUGCCUCAUCCUCCCAAAGUGCUGGGAUUACAGGUGUGAGCCACCACACCCAGCCUGUGGCCAGCACUUUAGAUGCAACAUCAAGUAAUCUCUAUGCCAGCCCCUGAGGUCAUCACCACCGUCAUCCAGCAUGACAGUGGGGACAAACCUGGACAACUGGGGCUGAGUCCUUGAGAAUCUUGCCCAGUCCCAGGGCAAGAAACAAGUCAUGUUGCAAACCCACCUCUGUGGCUGCAGAGGGCCCAACCCUGACCCCUGCUCUUUCCUGCCUUCCUGGGGAAGGGGGGGAGGUGAGAGUGGAGUGGCUAAAGGGUGAAGAGGUAAAAGGCCCUUCCUGGUGGAGGCUCAGUGUGAACCGGUGACCCCACACCUACCCCAGCACCAGCGCCAGGAGGGGGAGCUGGGCGUGGGCACCAGGAGACAGUGGGAAGCAGAGCUGUGUGGCGGUGGCAGAGGCAGUGGCCGGCCCAUUCUCCAAUAUGGCCUUGUGGUUUUCGUGUCGUCCGAUGAAUGUGUACAGCCUACAGCCUACAGAGGGCAGGGCUUUUGGCAGUGCUGGGCCUGCCUUGAGUGGCCUUGUCGAUAUACAGAAGGGAUAUCCCAGAGUCUCGCUCUGUUGCCCAGGCUGGAGCACAGUGGUGCAAUCACGGCUCACUGCAGGCUCAAAGUCCUAGGCUCAAGCAAUCCUCCCGCCUUAGCCUCCCAAGUAGCUGGGAUUACAGGCAGACACCCCAUGACCGGCUCAUUUUUAAAUUUUGUGUAGAGAUGGGGUCUCACUGUUGUUCAAACUGGUCUCAAACUCCUGGCCUCAAGCAAUUCUCCCACUUCAGCCUCCCCAAGUGCUGGGAUUACAGGCAUGAGCUACCACACCCGGCCCACUUACAAUCUUGAUAAAUACACUUGAUAUGUUCUUUUUCAGCAUGACAUGUAUCAACCAGUGAUAUAACUUGAUAAACAAAAUCAUAAAGAAACAACAAGAGCCCACCAAGUCCCACCUUGGCAUGAUUUAAAUACAUAUGCUUUCAACUGGGCGCAGUGCCUCACGCCUAUAAUCGCAGCACGUUGGGAGGGUAAGGUGGGAGGAUCACCUGAGGUCGAAACUUUGAGACCAGCCUGGCCAACAUAGUGAAACCCCGUCUUUACUAAAAAUUAAAAAAAAUAAAUAAAUAACCAGGCGCGAUGGCCGGAGCCUGUAGUCCCAGCUACUUGGGGGGCUGAGGCAGGAGAAUCGCCUGAACCCAGGAAGUGGAGGUUGCAGUGAGCCGAGAUCACGCCACUGCACUCUAGCCUAGGCGACAGAGUGAGACUGUCUCAAAAAAAUAAAUAAAUACAAAUGCUUUCUAAAGUG